AUUGAACGCUGGCGGCAUGCCUUACACAUGCAAGUCGAACGGCAGCACGGGUGCUUGCACCUGGUGGCGAGUGGCGAACGGGUGAGUAAUACAUCGGAACGUACCUUAUCGUGGGGGAUAACGCAGCGAAAGCUGUGCUAAUACCGCAUACGCCCUGAGGGGGAAAGCGGGGGAUCGCAAGACAUGGCGCGAUUAGAGCGGCCGAUGCCUGAUUAGCUUGUUGGUGGGGUAAAAGCCCACCAAGGCGACGAUCAGUAGCUGGUCUGAGAGGACGAUCAGCCACACUGGGACUGAGACACGGCCCAGACUCCUACGGGAGGCAGCAGUGGGGAAUUUUGGGCAAUGGGGGCAACCCUGACCCAGCAAUGCCGCGUGAGUGAAGAAGGCCUUCGGGUUGUAAAGCUCUUUUGUCAGGGAAGAAACACCGGCUCUAACACAGUCCGGGAAUGACGGUACCUGAAGAAUAAGCACCGGCUAACUACGUGCCAGCCGCCGCCGUAA
RNAcentral lists this ribosomal RNA (501 nucleotides) under uncultured bacterium. RNAcentral's name for it is "partial 16S ribosomal RNA". It matches the Rfam family "Bacterial small subunit ribosomal RNA", at positions 29 to 523 of the family's 1533-position model. The record is from RNAcentral.